CAAUAGCGUAUAUUAAAGUUGUUGCAGUUAAAAAGCUCGUAGUUGGAUUUCUUGUGGGAGCGAUCGGUCUGGCGCUUAGCGCGAGUACUUGCAUCGUCUCCGGCCAUCCUUGGGGAGAGUCUGUCUGGCAUUAAGUUGUCGGGCAGAGGAUCCUCAUCGUUUACUGUGAAAAAAUUAGAGUGUUCAAAGCAGGCUUAUGCCGUUGAAUAUAUUAGCAUGGAAUAAUAAGAUAGGACUUUGGUACUAUUUUGUUGGUUUGCGCACCAAAGUAAUGAUUAAUAGGGACAGUUGGGGGUAUUCGUAUUCCGUUGUCAGAGGUGAAAUUCUUGGAUUUACGGAAGACGAACUACUGCGAAAGCAUUUACCAAGGAUGUUUUCAUUAA
Molecule: ribosomal RNA, 383 nt
Filed under: uncultured eukaryote
Lineage: Eukaryota
Description: partial 18S ribosomal RNA
Rfam family: Eukaryotic small subunit ribosomal RNA
Source: RNAcentral